RNAcentral lists this ribosomal RNA (96 nucleotides) under Ascobolus crenulatus. Its description in RNAcentral is "5.8S ribosomal RNA". The stretch from base 36 to 96 matches the Rfam family "5.8S ribosomal RNA", at positions 1 to 61 of the family's 154-position model. Rfam says of the family: 5.8S ribosomal RNA (5.8S rRNA) is a component of the large subunit of the eukaryotic ribosome. The record is from RNAcentral. Lineage: Eukaryota; Fungi; Ascomycota; Pezizomycetes; Pezizales; Ascobolaceae.
AUGUAUUGUCUGAUAAAAAAUUUAAUAAAAGUUAAAACUUUCAACAACGGAUCUCUAGGUUCUCGCAUCGAUGAAGAACGCAGCGAAAUGCGAUAA